UGUGUUGCCGCUUCGGUGGGGCUA
RNAcentral lists this non-coding RNA (24 nucleotides) under Rattus norvegicus (Norway rat). Lineage: Eukaryota; Metazoa; Chordata; Mammalia; Rodentia; Muridae. The record is from RNAcentral.